ACCACCAGGAGCACCACUUCUACAUCCUCUCUGUAAAUGCCAUGCAGACAAGCUAGUGGCUUGAACCGAGAUACAAAAUUCAACUCCAGUGAAAGGUGUUCAAGUCAGAGUGAAAAUCCAGUCCAUUCAGCUUCCUAAACGUAUCCAUCCGGUAGAGCUCUUUCAGCUACUAAUUAGAAUAUUCCAACUGACAAAGAACCUGGAACUUUCCCUCUUGACACCCAUAUAGCUGUCAGCUGCAUCGCAAAGUAAUGGGAGAUGAGGCUCAAGUGACAGACCUGGAUGCGAAUUCACCACCAUGAGAGGGUCUGAGAUCACAAGCAGGAUCCCACAGAAUCACAGAUACUUUGCAAGCACUUCAAAGGUGUCCAAAACCAAAACUAGCUCAUAAUCAGCCUGCCUCAUGCUUGGCAGAAGAAAAGAAAGGACAGGAGGCUGUGCAAGUCAAGGAGGGAGCAAGUUUGAAAGCGGUAAUCCCUGCUGCAGAGCCUGAAGCUAGAUCUCUUUGAAGCCAGUAACCUACCAAACCAUGGAGGAAUCCUUUUCCCCCCAUUGGCUCUGCUGCUGGACAUCCAGUGACCCUCAGUCUGCUUGGCCUCUUAUGGAAAUGACCAGAGCAAACCACUUCUGAUUAAAUCAAAUCCCUGACUGCUGAACUGACAUACCUUCGCUUGGCAAGGUUGAGAAGGGCAGGGAAGAACGUG
Molecule: long non-coding RNA, 704 nt
Organism: Cygnus olor (mute swan)
Lineage: Eukaryota; Metazoa; Chordata; Aves; Anseriformes; Anatidae
Exons: 2
Source: RefSeq, a predicted model, not a curated record